This 66-nucleotide transfer RNA is filed under the name Microhyla picta (painted rice frog). RNAcentral's name for it is "partial tRNA-Val". The record is from RNAcentral. Lineage: Eukaryota; Metazoa; Chordata; Amphibia; Anura; Microhylidae.
AUGUUGCUUAACCAAAGCCUCUCGCUUACCCCGAGAAGAUAUCCGUGAAACUCAGAUCAUCUUGAG